ACGCUGGCGGCAGGCUUAACACAUGCAAGUCGAACGGUAACAGGAGAAAGCUUGCUUUCUUGCUGACGAGUGGCGGACGGGUGAGUAAUGCUUGGGAAUCUGGCUUAUGGAGGGGGAUAACGACGGGAAACUGUCGCUAAUACCGCGUAGAGUCGAGAGACGAAAGUGCGGGACCGCAAGGCCGCAUGCCAUAGGAUGAGCCCAAGUGGGAUUAGGUAGUUGGUGGGGUAAUAGCCUACCAAGCCGACGAUCUCUAGCUGGUCUGAGAGGAUGACCAGCCACGCCGGGACUGAGACACGGCCCGGACUUCUACGGGAGGCAGCAGUGGGGAAUAUUGCGCAAUGGGGGCAACCCUGACGCAGCCAUGCCGCGUGAAUGAAGAAGGCCUUCGGGUUGUAAAGUUCUUUCGGUAUUGAGGAAGGUUGUUGUGUUAAUAGCACGACAAAUUGACGUUAAAUACAGAAGAAGCACCGGCUAACUCCGUGCCAGCAGCCGCGGUAAUACGGAGGGUGCGAGCGUUAAUCGGAAUAACUGGGCGUAAAGGGCACGCAGGCGGACUUUUAAGUGAGGUGUGAAAUCCCCGGGCUUAACCUGGGAAUUGCAUUUCAGACUGGGAGUCUAGAGUACUUUAGGGAGGGGUAGAAUUCCACGUGUAGCGGUGAAAUGCGUAGAGAUGUGGAGGAAUACCGAAGGCGAGGCAGCCCCUUGGGAAUGUACUGACGCUCAUGUGCGAAAGCGUGGGGAGCAAACAGGAUUAGAUACCCUGGUAGUCCACGCUGUAAACGCUGUCGAUUUGGGGAUUGGGCUUUAAGCUUGGUGCCCGAAGCUAACGUGAUAAAUCGACCGCCUGGGGAGUACGGCCGCAAGGUUAAAACUCAAAUGAAUUGACGGGGGCCCGCACAAGCGGUGGAGCAUGUGG
Molecule: ribosomal RNA, 919 nt
Filed under: uncultured bacterium
Lineage: Bacteria
Description: bacterial SSU rRNA
Rfam family: Bacterial small subunit ribosomal RNA
Source: RNAcentral